Molecule: non-coding RNA, 252 nt
Organism: Vicia faba (fava bean)
Lineage: Eukaryota; Viridiplantae; Streptophyta; Magnoliopsida; Fabales; Fabaceae
Source: the annotation of a GenBank genome assembly
AUGGUUAACAACUUUGAAGGUGUGGGAGCAGUUGGUGGUGGCUCCAGUCGCGGUCGCGUCAACAGAAGGAGCUUUGGAGAUAGGAGGAUGAUUGACAACUUUGAAGGUGUGAAAACAGUCGAUGGUGGUGGCUCUGGUGGCGUCCGUUUCAGCAGAAGGAGGGGUUUAGCGGUGGUUCGUGUAGCUCAGGACCUCAUGCCGGGCAUCCCUGGUCGACCACGUUGCUUGAGUGGCAAGACCAACAGUUUCUGA